UCUAUAUUUAUAUUUUCAUACUCGUUGC
Molecule: non-coding RNA, 28 nt
Filed under: Bombyx mori (domestic silkworm)
Lineage: Eukaryota; Metazoa; Arthropoda; Insecta; Lepidoptera; Bombycidae
Source: RNAcentral